UGGGGAAUAUUGCACAAUGGGGGAAACCCUGAUGCAGCGACGCCGCGUGAGCGAAGAAGGUUUUCGAAUCGUAAAGCUCUGUCCUAUGGGAAGAUAAUGACGGUACCAUAGGAGGAAGCCCCGGCUAACUACGUGCCAGCAGCCGCGGUCAUACGUAGGGGGCAAGCGUUGUCCGGAAUCACUGGGCGUAAAGGGUUCGCAGGCGGAAAUGCAAGUCAGUUGUGAAAGGCAGAGGCUCAACCUCUGUAAGCAAUUGAAACUGUAUUUCUUGAGAUGUGGAGAAGCAAGUGGAAUUCCUAGUGUAGCGGUGAAAUGCGUAGAUAUUAGGAAGAAUACCGGUGGCGAAGGCGACUUGCUGGACACAAACUAACGCUGAGGAACGAAAGCGUGGGUAGCAAACUGG
RNAcentral lists this ribosomal RNA (403 nucleotides) under Fusobacteriota bacterium. Its description in RNAcentral is "Fusobacteria bacterium partial 16S ribosomal RNA". It matches the Rfam family "Bacterial small subunit ribosomal RNA", at positions 355 to 776 of the family's 1533-position model. Lineage: Bacteria; Fusobacteriati; Fusobacteriota. The record is from RNAcentral.